AGAGUUUGAUCAUGGCUCAGGAUGAACGCUAGCGACAGGCUUAACACAUGCAAGUCGAGGGGCAGCAUGGUUUGUAGCAAUACAGAUUGAUGGCGACCGGCGCACGGGUGAGUAACGCGUAUGCAACUUACCUAUCAGAGGGGGAUAGCCCGGCGAAAGUCGGAUUAAUACCCCAUAAAACAGGGGUCCCGCAUGGGAAUAUUUGUUAAAGAUUCAUCGCUGAUAGAUAGGCAUGCGUUCCAUUAGGCAGUUGGCGGGUAACGCCACAAACCGCGAUGGAUAGGGGUUCUGAGAGGAAGGUCCCCCANAUUGGUACUGAGACACGGACCAAACUCCUACGGGAGGCA
Molecule: ribosomal RNA, 347 nt
Filed under: uncultured bacterium
Lineage: Bacteria
Description: bacterial SSU rRNA
Rfam family: Bacterial small subunit ribosomal RNA
Source: RNAcentral